CCUACGGGGGGCUGCAGUGGGGAAUAUUGGACAAUGGGGGGAACCCUGAUCCAGCCAUGCCGCGUGUGUGAAGAAGGCCCUCGGGUUGUAAAGCACUUUCAGUGAGGAAGAACGCCUGGUGGUUAAUACCCAUCAGGAAAGACAUCACUCACAGAAGAAGCACCGGCUAACUCCGUGCCAGCAGCCGCGGUAAUACGGAGGGUGCGAGCGUUAAUCGGAAUUACUGGGCGUAAAGCGCGCGUAGGUGGCUUGAUAAGCCGGUUGUGAAAGCCCCGGGCUCAACCUGGGAACGGCAUCCGGAACUGUCAAGCUAGAGUGCAGGAGAGGAAGGUAGAAUUCCCGGUGUAGCGGUGAAAUGCGUAGAGAUCGGGAGGAAUACCAGUGGCGAAGGCGGCCUUCUGGACUGACACUGACACUGAGGUGCGAGAGCGUGGGUAGCAAACAGGAUUAGAUACCCUUGUAGUC
RNAcentral lists this ribosomal RNA (465 nucleotides) under Vreelandella stevensii. RNAcentral describes it as "partial 16S ribosomal RNA". It matches the Rfam family "Bacterial small subunit ribosomal RNA", at positions 338 to 795 of the family's 1533-position model. The record is from RNAcentral. Lineage: Bacteria; Pseudomonadati; Pseudomonadota; Gammaproteobacteria; Oceanospirillales; Halomonadaceae.